RNAcentral lists this ribosomal RNA (425 nucleotides) under uncultured bacterium. RNAcentral describes it as "partial 16S ribosomal RNA". It matches the Rfam family "Bacterial small subunit ribosomal RNA", at positions 354 to 796 of the family's 1533-position model. The record is from RNAcentral.
GUGGGGAAUCUUGCGCAAUGGGCGAAAGCCUGACGCAGCCAUGCCGCGUGAAUGAUGAAGGUCUUAGGAUUGUAAAAUUCUUUCACCGGGGACGAUAAUGACGGUACCCGGAGAAGAAGCUCCGGCUAACUUCGUGCCAGCAGCCGCGGUAAUACGAAGGGGGCUAGCGUUGCUCGGAAUUACUGGGCGUAAAGGGCGCGUAGGCGGACAGCUUAGUCAGAGGUGAAAGCCCAGGGCUCAACCUUGGAAUUGCCUUUGAUACUGGCUGUCUUGAGUUUGGGAGAGGUGAGUGGAACUCCUAGUGUAGAGGUGAAAUUCGUAGAUAUUCGGAAGAACACCAGUGGCGAAGGCGACUCACUGGCCCAAUACUGACGCUGAGGCGCGAAAGCGUGGGGAUCAAACAGGAUUAGAUACCCCUGUAGUCC